UUAAACUGAAGAGUUUGAUCAUGGCUCAGAUUGAACGCUGGCGGCAGGCCUAACACA
RNAcentral lists this ribosomal RNA (57 nucleotides) under Modicisalibacter xianhensis. RNAcentral describes it as "Halomonas xianhensis 16S rRNA. Bacterial SSU". The record is from RNAcentral. Lineage: Bacteria; Pseudomonadati; Pseudomonadota; Gammaproteobacteria; Oceanospirillales; Halomonadaceae.